CUGCGGAGUUUUGUUGGCAACCGUUAAGAAGAUUCGUAAGUUACAUUUCCCAAGCCCUUCCCCUCUCCAGGAGCACAACACCCGCAUCCCCAGCAUCAUGAAAACAAGCGCGGCCACCGCGAUGUGCGACACGUGGGGCCUGGAAUCUCACUGCAGACCGCGCUGCAAACGCUCAGCCGCGCCUUUGAAUAAGUUAGACGGCCUGCGGGGGCGUCCGACCAGAUAACACAAGGAAUGCGGAUGCCACCCUUGCCUCUGCUUUCCCUCCAAACCUGCUCAGGCCCCUGGAUCACAGGACCCUCCCCUGCACCAAGGCAGCUUCUCCUGUGGGCUGAAUGGUGCCUCCUGUCCACAGUCCAGCCAGCCCCACCCGAGGGGACACCCACCUGAAUCUGGCAGCACUGCCUCCUCGUUAGGGCAGUGCCACAGGAGUCCUG
This 437-nucleotide long non-coding RNA is filed under the name Homo sapiens (human). Its description in RNAcentral is "HSALNT0224854". The record is from RNAcentral. Lineage: Eukaryota; Metazoa; Chordata; Mammalia; Primates; Hominidae.